Molecule: ribosomal RNA, 492 nt
Filed under: uncultured bacterium
Lineage: Bacteria
Description: partial 16S ribosomal RNA
Rfam family: Bacterial small subunit ribosomal RNA
Source: RNAcentral
AGUGAACGCUGGCGGUAGGCCUAACACAUGCAAGUCGAACGGCAGCACAGUAAGAGCUUGCUCUUACGGGUGGCGAGUGGCGGACGGGUGAGGAAUACAUCGGAAUCUACUUUUUCGUGGGGGAUAACGUAGGGAAACUUACGCUAAUACCGCAUACGACCUACGGGUGAAAGCAGGGGAUCUUCGGACCUUGCGCGAUUGAAUGAGCCGAUGUCGGAUUAGCUAGUUGGCGGGGUAAAGGCCCACCAAGGCGACGAUCCGUAGCUGGUCUGAGAGGAUGAUCAGCCACACUGGAACUGAGACACGGUCCAGACUCCUACGGGAGGCAGCAGUGGGGAAUAUUGGACAAUGGGCGCAAGCCUGAUCCAGUCAUACCGCGUGGGUGAAGAAGGCCUUCGGGUUGUAAAGCCCUUUUGUUAGGAAAGAAAAGCAGCAGGUUAAUACCCCGCUGUUCUGACGGUACCCAAAGAAUAAGCACCGGCUAACUUCGUG